RNAcentral lists this ribosomal RNA (439 nucleotides) under uncultured bacterium. RNAcentral's name for it is "partial 16S ribosomal RNA". It matches the Rfam family "Bacterial small subunit ribosomal RNA", at positions 339 to 795 of the family's 1533-position model. The record is from RNAcentral.
CUACGGGGCGCUGCAGUGGGGAAUUUUGCGCAAUGGGGGGAACCCUGACGCAGCAAUACCGCGUGAGUGAAGAAGGCCUUUGGGUCGUAAAGCUCUUUUCUGAAGGAAGAUAGUGACGGUACUUCAGGAAUAAGCACCGGCUAACUCCGUGCCAGCAGCCGCGGUAAUACGGAGGGUGCGAGCGUUGUUCGGAUUUACUGGGCGUAAAGGGCACGUAGGCGGCCUGGCAAGUUAAGGGUGAAAUCCCGGGGCUUAACUCCGGAACUGCUCUUAAAACUGCCAAGCUAGAGAUAGUCAGAGGCGGGUGGAAUUCCUGGUGUAGAGGUGAAAUUCGUAGAUAUCAGGAGGAACACCGGUGGCGAAGGCGGCCCGCUGGGGCUAUUCUGACGCUAAGGUGCGAAAGCGUGGGGAGCGAACGGGAUUAGAUACCCUUGUAGUC